CGAGGUCUAAUGUUAAGAUUAUUACAUUUUGACUUUUCUUCCGAGGCAUCAGUGCACACAUGCUUGAAUUUGUUGGCAAGUGGAGAGAUGAGAGAUGUUUAAAAGGGUUUAGAGGAGAAUGGGAUAGUUGUAUGGACAAGUCAUUCCUCAUAUAAUCCUCAAAGGAGAUGUGAUAUGAGAAUGUCAGGGUGAACACGAGAUACACAAAGGGUGCCCCAACUUAAUGUUAUGGAAAAUGAGCUGGGGUUUGGAUCCAUGAAAGUUAGGGUGAGAAAAUUUCAAAUGAGAUUGGCAAAGCUGCCCCAGUCUUGAGGUUAUGGAUUGAUGAAAAACUUGUGUGAGACUCACAAAGUUGUCCUGGUUUUUGUUUGCUUUUUUUUUCUUUGCUUAUUGUGGUAUAGGUUGACGAAAAACUCGGGUGAGACUCACAAAAUUGUUCCAGUUUUUUCUUUGGCAAGGGUUCUGUUUGGAAGAGGUAUUGGGCAUGAAAAGGAUCAGCUAAAAGGAUGGCCUCAAAUUAGUUUGAUUUUUCUUUUGCAUGCUUCUGGUUAGACGACAGGGUGAUCCCCUCUUCGCGAGACAUUACUUUUUCUUCUUUUUUUUUUUCUUUUUUUUCUUCUCUUUUUAUUUUACAACACAUUGAAAAUCAUUUCCCCUUAUCGCAAAGUUAAGCUUCAUGAAAACUUUAGCAAACAUUAUCCAAUCUGCAUGGACUUUAUUAAGCUUGUAACGUGGCUAAGGGCUAAAAGGUAUUGAAAGAAAUGAUAUAAAGGCCCAAAUGAAUGUUUGUUGGUUAUUAUUUUUUGAAACAAGGGUUAUCAUCUAAGUAUUGCAUCAACUAUUUGACUUUUUGAACACUUUGUUUUUUCCUUGAACUUCGUUUUUCAUUCUUUUUGCUCAACAUCACUUUGUGAUUUUUUGUUGUUCUUUUUGCUUUGUCUUUUGUUUUUUUUUUAUUCACUCUUCUUGAUGAAUUCUCUUUGUUUGAUCACCGAGUGCUCUUUAUUUGCAUCACGAAUUGACUCCUACCUGAUGACAACCCUUGCUUGGGGAUGAUUUUGAAAAAGAAUUUAUUUUCGGCUCAAACAGGGUGACAAUGGAUAUAUUUUUGCUUUUAGGUAAAGACAAGAAGGCCACACAUCAUUUUGAACUCUGAUUGCUUUAUUUUCAAAAGACUAAUUUUGCGACUAGAUGACCUCAACAUGAGUCGUUUUUUUUUCUUUUCUAGACCGCUCUUUCGGGUUUUCAAUCUAGUGGACUUAUUCUUCUUUUUUUUUUGUCUUUCUUUUUCAAUUUUUUUCUUUUUUUUUUCCAAUUUAUCCUGUGGGAUUCAGGGAUCACCCUACUAGCGCAAGCGAGAAAACCUUUGGUCAGGCCAAUCUGCCCCAGUGAAAAGGUUUGCUUUGUUAUUGAGGGCAGCGACGAUGUUAGUUGAAAGGGAAAUCCUUUAUUUUGGAAAAGUGAAGGGCGGAGGUUUUCAAGCAGCAUGUGCACAACGUCUUGAGAGAAAAGUCAAAAUUGUUAUUUUUGAUUUAACAUUUGACCUCGGAAAAGUCUGACACUACAACUUUUGCUUUUCUUUUUUUCUUUGCUAUCUUCGAGAAACAAGAGUUUGAUGAUUUGUAAAAAAGACAAGUGACUUAAGAUUGCCUUCAUUUUUUUCAAUUUUGUUUUCUUUUUUUUUUUUUUACAACACCCUUUCAGGACUCGAUUCCAGCACUACUUGGAGAAACCCUGUGGCGAAUGUUCGCAUUACGAGUAAUGGAUGACAUCAUGAUAUCAAUGAGUAUACUUCCCCGGUAGCAAGACUCUUCACAACAUCAAAUUCACUUGUAUGAUGGCUUAUGCUUUCUUAUGUGGCCCUAAAGCCUACUUCAUUUCAUCAUAGCAUCUGCAUAGACAUUCUCAAGUCGUGCCCCGACAUUAGACUGACUUUCUUCAAACUUUAACCAUCUUGAAUCAGUCAAAGAUUGGAUUUGAACUUGAACACCCAACACUUUUGAUGGAAUGAUCGAUAGCCUCCUCGUGGUAAUCACCUCUUGUAUCAUGAGUCUUGAGGUAUUGAGGCUUUAAAGGCUUCAUGUAUCAAGUAGAGACCAAACCCUCUUUUGCGCAGAACACUUGAAAGCAAUGUUGCAUAAGUCAUAUGUAUGGGAGUGAAACUCACAGGACCUUUGUCUUAAUCAACAUUUUUCUACCCGGCAACUUGGUAGGAGAUUGAGUUUGGAUCUGGUUUCCAAUUUUGUCUUGAAACCAUUUCAGAUGUAUGGUAAGGUCAUGGUAUUUGAGUGGUGGGAAAUGGUUGAGCUCUUUCUUGUCUCCUCCUCCCAUACUUAGACCCAACUUGUUCACAUUUGCCGCCAUGGUAGGACCUUUUACGAUCCUUUUAGUCUUCACACCAACUUUAAUUCUUUCUUCGAUAAACACCUUGUCAGCAAAGUUCGAGGAAACACCACUCAUCAUAUGCUCAUAGAAGGGUGAUUGCAGAGUAUUUAGAAUGUCUUAACCAUCUCGUUAUCACUCAUAAGAGUCUUUCCUUGAGCAACACUCUUUCUACCUUUGGGCAUAUUUUUGAAUGACUGAGUCCUUUUUCACCAUGCCCUACAGUUGUAAUCUGCGAAGCGCCACACCCAUGUUAUAUUUGAAAUGUCUCAAGAAAGCAUCCAUUAGAUCCUCCCAAAACUAGAUACACAAAUGUUCAAGAUGAGUGCCCCAAUUAGUGUCAUGCCAGUCAAACUCUCGAAAGAAAACGUCUUCAUGCAAUACAUCAUGAGAUGGCUCGUGGGACAAAUGGUUCUUUUGGGUAAUUUAAACUUUGAGAGAUGUCACCGCCUCUGGGAUUAAGCCUAGCCUCGCGACAUUUUCAAACUCAGCGCUUCCUUCGCCUUCUA
RNAcentral lists this long non-coding RNA (2891 nucleotides) under Vigna radiata. Its description in RNAcentral is "long non-coding RNA (VRAD_LNC010286)". The record is from RNAcentral. Lineage: Eukaryota; Viridiplantae; Streptophyta; Magnoliopsida; Fabales; Fabaceae.